GUUGCGGACAGUGUCUGGUGGGUAGUUUGACUGGGGCGGUCUCCUCCUAAAGAGUAACGGAGGAGCACGAAGGUUGGCUAAUCCUGGUCGGACAUCAGGAGGUUAGUGCAAUGGCAUAAGCCAGCUUGACUGCGAGCGUGACGGCGCGAGCAGGUGCGAAAGCAGGUCAUAGUGAUCCGGUGGUUCUGAAUGGAAGGGCCAUCGCUCAACGGAUAAAAGGUACUCCGGGGAUAACAGGCUGAUACCGCCCAAGAGUUCAUAUCGACGGCGGUGUUUGGCACCUCGAUGUCGGCUCAUCACAUCCUGGGGCUGAAGUAGGUCCCAAGGGUAUGGCUGUUCGCCAUUUAAAGUGGUACGCGAGCUGGGUUUAGAACGUCGUGAGACAGUUCGGUCCCUAUCUGCCGUGGGCGCUGGAGAACUGAGGGGGGCUGCUCCUAGUACGAGAGGACCGGAGUGGACGCAUCACUGGUGUUCGGGUUGUCAUGCCAAUGGCACUGCCCGGUAGCUAAAUGCGGAAGAGAUAAGUGCUGAAAGCAUCUAAGCACGAAACUUGCCCCGAGAUGAGUUCUCCCUGACUCCUUGAGAGUCCUGAAGGAACGUUGAAGACGACGACGUUGAUAGGCCGGGUGUGUAAGCGCAGCGAUGCGUUGAGCUAACCGGUACUAAUGAACCGUGAGGCUUAACCUU
Molecule: ribosomal RNA, 687 nt
Filed under: Escherichia coli
Lineage: Bacteria; Pseudomonadati; Pseudomonadota; Gammaproteobacteria; Enterobacterales; Enterobacteriaceae
Description: partial 23S ribosomal RNA
Rfam family: Bacterial large subunit ribosomal RNA
Source: RNAcentral